GAUAAACGCUGGCGGCGUGCCUAAUACAUGCAAGUCGAGCGAACGGACGAGAAGCUUGCUUCUCUGAUGUUAGCGGCGGACGGGUGAGUAACACGUGGAUAACCUACCUAUAAGACUGGGAUAACUUCGGGAAACCGGAGCUAAUACCGGAUAAUAUUUUGAACCGCAUGGUUCAAAAGUGAAAGACGGUCUUGCUGUCACUUAUAGAUGGAUCCGCGCUGCAUUAGCUAGUUGGUAAGGUAACGGCUUACCAAGGCAACGAUGCAUAGCCGACCUGAGAGGGUGAUCGGCCACACUGGAACUGAGACACGGUCCAGACUCCUACGGGAGGCAGCAGUAGGGAAUCUUCCGCAAUGGGCGAAAGCCUGACGGAGCAACGCCGCGUGAGUGAUGAAGGUCUUCGGAUCGUAAAACUCUGUUAUUAGGGAAGAACAUAUGUGUAAGUAACUGUGCACAUCUUGACGGUACCUAAUCAGAAAGCCACGGCUAACUACGUGCCAGCAGCCGCGGUAAUACGUAGGUGGCAAGCGUUAUCCGGAAUUAUUGGGCGUAAAGCGCGCGUAGGCGGUUUUUUAAGUCUGAUGUGAAAGCCCACGGCUCAACCGUGGAGGGUCAUUGGAAACUGGAAAACUUGAGUGCAGAAGAGGAAAGUGGAAUUCCAUGUGUAGCGGUGAAAUGCGCAGAGAUAUGGAGGAACACCAGUGGCGAAGGCGACUUUCUGGUCUGUAACUGACGCUGAUGUGCGAAAGCGUGGGGAUCAAACAGGAUUAGAUACCCUGGUAGUCCACGCCGUAAACGAUGAGUGCUAAGUGUUAGGGGGUUUCCGCCCCUUAGUGCUGCAGCUAACGCAUUAAGCACUCCGCCUGGGGAGUACGACCGCAAGGUUGAAACUCAAAGGAAUUGACGGGGACCCGCACAAGCGGUGGAGCAUGUGGUUUAAUUCGAAGCAACGCGAAGAACCUUACCAAAUCUUGACAUCCUUUGACGACUCUAGAGAUAGAGCCUUCCCCUUCGGGGGACAAAGUGACAGGUGGUGCAUGGUUGUCGUCAGCUCGUGUCGUGAGAUGUUGGGUUAAGUCCCGCAACGAGCGCAACCCUUAAGCUUAGUUGCCAUCAUUAAGUUGGGCACUCUAAGUUGACUGCCGGUGACAAACCGGAGGAAGGUGGGGAUGACGUCAAAUCAUCAUGCCCCUUAUGAUUUGGGCUACACACGUGCUACAAUGGACAAUACAAAGGGCAGCGAAACCGCGAGGUCAAGCAAAUCCCAUAAAGUUGUUCUCAGUUCGGAUUGUAGUCUGCAACUCGACUACAUGAAGCUGGAAUCGCUAGUAAUCGUAGAUCAGCAUGCUACGGUGAAUACGUUCCCGGGUCU
This 1372-nucleotide ribosomal RNA is filed under the name uncultured bacterium. RNAcentral describes it as "bacterial SSU rRNA". It matches the Rfam family "Bacterial small subunit ribosomal RNA", at positions 28 to 1381 of the family's 1533-position model. The record is from RNAcentral.